Molecule: transfer RNA, 75 nt
Filed under: Synechococcus sp. OH30
Lineage: Bacteria; Bacillati; Cyanobacteriota; Cyanophyceae; Synechococcales; Synechococcaceae
Also listed under: 30 other names
Description: tRNA-Arg
Rfam family: tRNA
About the family: Transfer RNA (tRNA) molecules are approximately 80 nucleotides in length.
Source: RNAcentral
GGGGCUGUAGCUCAGCCUGGAUAGAGCAAGCGCCUCCUAAGCGCUAGGUCGGCGGUUCAAAUCCGCCCAGUCCCG